This 2515-nucleotide long non-coding RNA is filed under the name Triticum aestivum (bread wheat). RNAcentral describes it as "long non-coding RNA (TAES_LNC002463)". Lineage: Eukaryota; Viridiplantae; Streptophyta; Magnoliopsida; Poales; Poaceae. The record is from RNAcentral.
GAUUAUUUUCAUAAGUGGACCCAUUGGUCAAGUUUCCAUUUCACAAGUUUUCAGAUCACAUACAUAAUCAAAAAGAACACAUAAAUUUCAUCAAAUAUACCACUAAAUAAAUCUAUUACAAUCUUUACAACACAUAUAUGCUACAAUAUGCUACUCUUCACUAAGUAGAACUUGAUGGCUUCACACUUCACAGCUUCACACUUGCUUCACACUUCACACUUGAGCAUCUGUAAAAGAGGAACAACCACAAAUUUAAAUCUCAAUUGCAGUAUAGGCCAUAUGCAGAAGCGGUUCAAAGUUGAAACAACAUCAAUUAAACACACGCGCACAGAAACAUAGGAUUCAAAAUGCAAUGUAGGACCAGGACAAGGAAACUCCUGUUAUCAAAUCAACACACACCUUGUAGCAAAACAGCAACAGAAUACAUUAUAAUGAGAGCAUCAUGCUGGAAAGAAACAACACAGAAACAUGUGCAUAUCUCAUGUGAGCAUCAUGCUGUGGUUUUAUUAAACAAUGAUACAGCAACAGAAUACAAUAUCUUCAAUGCAAAUUAUGGUACUUGUAGCAAAACAGUUUGAAACAACAACUACACAAUACAUUAUAACGAGAGUAAGCUUGAAUCGAACAUUGACAGAUUGCUGCUAGUGCAUACUACUAUGAUUCACACUAGAGCAAAUUUUCAGAAGAACAAAUAAUGAAAAAUGUGCAAAUGCUCAAGAACUGGUACUUGCUGUACCAGGAAUAGGUACUUGCAUACUGAAGUUUUCAGAAGAACAAAUAACUGAAGCGAUUAUUCAUGAACAUGCGUAUUAAAGAAACAAGAACAGAAAAUUUUCAGUAGCACUUGUCAUUGGAAUUCAGAAGCAUUUAUCGCACAAAUUCAUAACUGGAGGUAAGUGAUGAGGCAGCAACGGAAUAAUGACCUCCUGCCAGCUCUCAAGUGGAAGAUGAUCCAUAGACAAGCAAAGUGCCAAGAUUCUGGAAGAACAAAAAAAUCAGUAUAAUUAAUUAGAUUCUGCUGCUAAGUGCCAAGUCUGAAGGAGGCCACCACACGGGAGCUUUCCUGAGAAGGAACAAAAAAAAUUAUCAGUAACAUGGUUUGGUUUACUAUGCCAACCAAGUAUCUCAUAUAACUGAGUAUACUUCUAUGGAAACUAAGCUCUUGUUUGACAAGUCCCAGCACCUGCUAUGCUAGAAAAUCAAGGAAUUUGUGCAAACGCCACAUAGCGCUGUUGCAACUUCUUACUACCAUAUUUAAAAUCCAAUGAGUUAUUAAUCAAAACUAAACCAUUUAAUCAAAGAAAAGUGGAAACAUUAAUUAAAGUAGCCUGCGUGGUUAUUAUACAAAUUACAGUCACCUACUUCAUUAAGGAAAUUACCGUUCUGCUCUAAAUAGUAUGCGCUUUAGAAUUCCUAUUUCCAAAUAUCUCUGUCAGCGUACUAAUCACCCAUUAGUGCAAUAGGUACUCGUGGGUCCAGAUUUUACCUUGGAUUAAAGGUGAUAUAAGGAGGAAACAUUGCGCAGGCACAUGACAGUAGAUGACUUAAUUAGGUAGUACUAAAACGACGCCUGUAGACAGACAGAUGUAACAAUGUCUGCCACAUUCCGAGCGGGUUAAAACUAGUGAGUAUCAACACUUAAAUGCUUAAAAGUAUUAUUUAUUUAUUUAAUCUGCCACCAAAGCACUAAUUACUUGGACAAAAAAGGAUUUCUAGUGAUAUAAAUAAAAUACUUCAUCUAUUCAAAAGCAAGACUGGAACCAGCUGUGUAGACCAUACGCAGCUGCUGAUACAAAAUUCAAAAGCAAGACUGGAACCAGCUGUGUAGACCAUACGCAACUGCUGAUACUUCAUCUAUUCUAGAUUGUGCGAUUAUUGAUUAGAAUUCCUUAACUAUACAUGUUUCAGUUCGAUCCAGAUCAACUGUAGAGCAUCACCAACCAAGACAGCUAAUGCUAAGCAGCCAUGAAGUGGUUUUUGCUCUCUUCACUGUGCGCAGUUGAGAAAUUUACCGACUAGCAGUACUAGAGCAAGUCAGCUCGACCAGCUGCAAAAGUAAAAAUUCCUGGUCUUCCAAGAAAUCAAUUGAGACCCAAGAACAUCUCGGUCGACUGAGAAUUAGCAUAGCAGCAACACCGCAGAAGUAAAACACGCACGCGGAAUAUAUGCCAUGUUACGAAAACCCCGAAUAGUAAGUAAUCUUGGGCACUAGUCAGGGGUUUGUCUGCACUGUUUGAUGUGCGUAGCUGCUAAACUUGCUGCCUGGCAUUGACUAGCGCGAGGCAGCUCGGCCAGCUGCAAGAACAAAAAGAGGACAAAUACUACCGGUGCUAGGAAUCGCACUGCCAUCAGCAAUCAGCGUCUACCUUACAGAUCUAAACAACCAGCGUCAAGUAAGUCCAAACAAUCGGCGUCUAGUCAUGCGAUGAUUCAGGCAUGCGAAACAGACACAGAUUAGGAUGGAUAUGAGAUGAGAGGGAACGGGUUACCUCGCACUGGGAGAAGAGGCUGGCCU